Molecule: long non-coding RNA, 662 nt
Filed under: Brassica napus (rape)
Lineage: Eukaryota; Viridiplantae; Streptophyta; Magnoliopsida; Brassicales; Brassicaceae
Description: long non-coding RNA (BNAP_LNC010323)
Source: RNAcentral
AAAUAUCACAUUUCUAAGUUUAUAUCACAAAAAUAGCACUCAAAAACUAUAAUGACCAAAAUAGCACCUUUCUAAGUUUAUCCUUUGAAAAUUUUAAUUUUUUUAUUUUUCAAAAUUUAAAAUCUUAUCCCAAAACCUCAUUUCUAAACUCUAAACCCUAAACCCUAAAUUCUAAACCUUAAACCCUAAACCAUAAACCCUAAAUUCUAAACCCUAAACCCUAAACCCUAAACUCUAAACCCUAAAUCCUAAACCCUAAACCCUAAAAUCUAAACCCUAAAUCCUAAACUCUAAACUCUAAACCCUAAACCCUAAAUCCUAAAUCCUAAACCCCACCCUUUAACUCUAAACCCUAAGUUUGUGACUUUUGAUAAAACAUUAAGUGCUAUUUUUGUGACUUUUGACCUUGAAUGCUAGUUUGAGAACGAAAACUUGAUUUAGUGAUAUUUUUGUCUUUUUCUCGAAGUGAAAUCCUUUACGAUGAUAUAUCUGAAACUUUUCAAAUUAGGCGUUUCAGUCACCUUUCAACAAUUCCCACAAAUUGUAAAUGAUAAAGAAAUCAGUUUAAGAUAACACGAAUUCAUUGUGAAGUAUCAAAAAUACUAAAUAGCUUAAUUUUAAUUGAUCUAAAACAUCUUCCACCACAUAAAUUUAGAAGCCGG